CAAAUUUGUUUUAUUUCGGAUAAUGCGUGAUUAUCAACGAUUCUAGAAACGCUCCCGGUUUAGGUGAUCUAGGUGCGCAUUGAAGUUAGACUACGGCUAGUGUGGCAGAAGGUUUGUGCUCAGUGUGAACUAUUAUUUACAACGCGUGUAAGUGUUGAACUGCUAAUCAGUGAUCCGCAAUGGAGAAGUCUUUUUCCAUGGAAUAACUACGAGCGGAAAAUGACGAGCUUCACCUAGAGUUGCACGCCGUGAAGAGCAAGUUUGAGGUAGCUAGCAACAUGAUCAUAGAUUUGUCUGAAGAGCUGGAACAAGUGGUGACAAAAUCUGCUAGGAAAAAGGUACAAAUUCACCAAAAGAACGAGAAUCAGCUUAAAAUUCAAGAAUCAAUAAUUGAAAAAAUUAAAGCAGACGUACACGAGCAACAUGCAGGUCGAACUGUCUGUUUCCAACGCACCGAUUAUGUUCGACGAACAGGAUUUGACAAGAAUAAAACAGAACUGGGAAAACGAGGAAAAACAAUAUCAGACCGAACUGGAAACGCUCCAGCACAAACUCAUGUGCUACGAAUGACUUCUCACAAAGUGGAAAAUCGACGAAAUUACCGAGGAACUCCAAAUGCUGAAGGAACACUUGGAAUGCAAGAAGACGGAACUGCUAACAAAUAGAGAAGAAACCAAUGAGUUGCGCGCGUUGCUUGAAACUGCCCCGCAAGAGAAUGCAUUGCUUUCCGCUUAGCUCGCAGGAAUACGAGCCGGCUCUGACAAAGAAACACCAAAGGAAAUUCCCUGUUCGGUGAGGUUGCCGACCAGCGCAAUAAACUACUGACGAUACUUUCGAAGAUGAAAACGUCUUACAAUAAACUGAAGUUAGAGCACGCGAAUUGUCCGAGACAGAUACAGCAGUUGCGCUAUAUGAGCCAGCAAUCCGAAAGGCUGUACCGACAGUGCAUUAAUUUGAUCGAGUAUGACCGUGUGAUUAUGCUUAAGGAGCAAAACGGCGAGCUACAUGAAUAGGUCGAUAAAGCAUUGUGUCGUAUUCGCUAUUUGGAAAAUGAGAUGGCUUCCAAAAGCGCAGAGUGGGUGAACAAGCUGGUGUCAUAUUACAAAGAACAGAUAAAGAAAUUGGAUACAAGGUUGCGUAGCUGCCAUAUCAAGCAACGCGAAGCAAUGGAAUUGCGAGAAAAUGCGGUAAAGGAUGGCUGCAUGUGGCGACUAGAAAAAAAAGAGACUAGAAAAUGAGUACCUUGCAUAUUGGUCCAGCGCGUUCGCCAUCGUUGCUCGAUACCGAAGAAACAUCACCAUCGAUUACCGAAAUCCCCAAACCCGAGGAAGUGGUGUAGCCGGACAUGGAAAUUUGCGACAAAGAGAACAAAGGUAAGGGAGGCGACGUUAUUAAUCGUGCCGAAACGGUCUACACGACCCACAAUUCACCUUCCGGCAAAGAUGCUGUAGGUGUUACAGAUUCGGCCUCAGUGUUGCAAGUCGAGGACUGCAGGAUUCUCAUCAACGACCGGAGCCGGAUUUAGUAAAAAUCAAUUUUAUGCCAUUGAGGUUUUAUAAAAUUGAUGACCUUAUGACGCUUAACAAAGGGCUUAACAAUACCAAAGUGAAUAUGUCGGAUGCUAAUACUCAAGAUCGAGUGAGCGAGGAUGCUGUUACGGGAAAUCCACUAGCAAAAUAAGUUUCUGUAUGACUGUCACUGACAUUACUAUAUUGCCUAUAUUAGAUUGUUGGGAAGAAUAGUGUGAUACUGUCUCCAUAAUUUAAAAAGACUGGGUCAUAUAGCUUCAGUACACGAUAGCUGCGGGCACUGCAGUUGUUGACGAAAUUUGUUAAAAAUUUGGACGGGUAAAAAAAUGCUUUUUCAGCUACUUCACAUUUCAUCACAUCACAUUCCUUCCGCGACAUCAUUGUAUAGAAAGGCAUCUUAGGGGUUAGGGUUACAUAGUUAGUUUUGCCAAACAUAAAAAUGGUUCGAUACAAUGGUUUCUCAAGUUUUAGAAGCCACCCACGCCAUCACUUUCGUUCUGCGAUAUCUUAGGUUGGAAAAACAACUAAGGGAAUAGUGUGUAA
Long non-coding RNA from Anopheles stephensi (Asian malaria mosquito), 2072 nucleotides. RefSeq lists it as uncharacterized. The record is from RefSeq and is a predicted model, not a curated record. Lineage: Eukaryota; Metazoa; Arthropoda; Insecta; Diptera; Culicidae. The transcript is spliced from 3 exons.